GCGCGAAAACUUUACAAUGCUGGCAACAGCGAUAAGGGAACCUCGAGUGCCAGGUUACAAAUCUGGCUGUCGAGAUGCCUAAAAAGCAUUUAAUAGCAAGGGCCGGGCAAGACCGGUGCCAGCCGCCGCGGUAACACCGGCGGCUCGAGUGGUAACCGUUAUUAUUGGGUAUAAAGGGUCUGUAGCCGGCCGGAUAAGUCUCUUGAGAAAUCUGGCAGCUUAACUGUCAGGCUUUCAGGAGAUACUGUCUGGCUCGAGGCCGGGAGAGGUGAGAGGUACUUCAGGGGUAGGGGUGAAAUCUUGUAAUCCUUGAAGGACCACCAGUGGCGAAGGCGUCUCACCAGAACGGACCUGACGGCAAGGGACGAAAGCUAGGGGCACGAACC
RNAcentral lists this ribosomal RNA (386 nucleotides) under uncultured prokaryote. RNAcentral's name for it is "bacterial SSU rRNA". It matches the Rfam family "Archaeal small subunit ribosomal RNA", at positions 339 to 725 of the family's 1478-position model. The record is from RNAcentral.